This 780-nucleotide ribosomal RNA is filed under the name uncultured bacterium. RNAcentral's name for it is "bacterial SSU rRNA". It matches the Rfam family "Bacterial small subunit ribosomal RNA", at positions 28 to 775 of the family's 1533-position model. The record is from RNAcentral.
GACGAACGCUGGCGGCGUGCUUAACACAUGCAAGUCGAACGGUCUACCUCGACAGAAACCUUCGGGUUGAAGACGAGAUCUAGAUAGUGGCGGACGGGUGAGUAACACGUGAAUAAUCUGUCCUCAAGUCUGGGAUAACCUGGCGAAAGUCGGGCUAAUCCGAGGUAAGCUGAGAGUGUGGCAUCACACAAUCAGAAAAGGUGGCUUUGCCAUCGUUUGAGGAGGAGUUCGCGGUAGAUUAGCUAGCUGGUGAGGUAAUGGCUCACCAGGGCAACAAUCUAUAGCUGGUCUGAGAGGACGAUCAGUCGCACUGGAACUGAGACACGGUCCAGACUCCUACGGGAGGCAGCAGUGGGGAAUCUUCCACAAUGGGCGAAAGCCUGAUGGAGCAACGCCGCGUGAGUGAAGAAGGUCUUAGGAUUGUAAAACUCUGUCCUUAGGGAAGAACCGUGGGUAUAGUAAAUGCUACCCACCUGACGGUACCUUUGGAGGAAGCACUGGCUAACUACGUGCCAGCAGCCGCGGUAAUACGUAGAGUGCAAGCGUUGUCCGGAAUUAUUGGGCGUAAAGGGUACGCAGGCGGAUAAUCAAGUCAAGCGUGAAAGGUGUCGGCUUAACCGACAGACUGCGUUUGAAACUGGUUAUCUUGAGUGUAACAGAGGAGAGUGGAAUUCCUAGUGUAGUGGUGAAAUACGUAGAUAUUAGGAAGAACGCCAGUGGCGAAGGCGACUCUCUGGGUUAACACUGACGCUGAGGUACGAAAGCUGGGGGAGCGAACGG